Molecule: ribosomal RNA, 389 nt
Filed under: Prymnesiaceae sp.
Lineage: Eukaryota; Haptophyta; Prymnesiales; Prymnesiaceae
Description: partial small subunit ribosomal RNA
Rfam family: Eukaryotic small subunit ribosomal RNA
Source: RNAcentral
AUUCCAGCUCCAAUAGUGUAUAUUAAAGUUGUUGCAGUUAAAAAGCUCGUAGUCGGAUUUCGGGGCCUGCCGAGCGGUCUGCCGAUGAGUAUGCACUGUUCGGCGCGUCCUUCUUUCCGGAGACUAAUUCUACUCUUAACUGAGCGGAAUUGGGAGACGGAUCGUUUACUUUGAAAAAAUCAGAGUGUUUCAAGCAGGCAGCUCGCUCUUGCAUGGAUUAGCAUGGGAUAAUGAAAUAGGACUUUGGUGCUAUUUUGUUGGUUUCGAACACCGAAGUAAUGAUUAACAGGGACAGUCAGGGGCACUCGUAUUCCGCCGAGAGAGGUGAAAUUCUCAGACCAGCGGAAGACGAACCACUGCGAAAGCAUUUGCCAGGGAUGUUUUCAUUG